This 440-nucleotide small RNA is filed under the name Pan troglodytes (chimpanzee). Its description in RNAcentral is "retained intron". The record is from RNAcentral. Lineage: Eukaryota; Metazoa; Chordata; Mammalia; Primates; Hominidae.
AGGUUGUGUUCCCAACCUUCUGUACAAGAAGUUUGAAAGAGGAUGAGCAAAGGUGUUUGGGGAACAUCGGCUAAACCUCUUCCCUGCCUGCAGCCACUCCUCUGUCGUGGGCAGGGUCAGCAAUGCUGCUGCUCACCCUAUGUCCUCUUGUUGCCUUGCAGAGGCGGCCAGCCAGUGAGCAGAGAGGAAGAACUGUGCCAGCAGGCAGGAGAUAGAACAGCCCGGCCUAGCCAGGAGAGACUGCAGGGACUCACUCAGCUGCUGGCCCCAAGUCAAAAUUUACAUUAAAGGGGAGAGCCCAGUCUGGGUGUGGGAAUGCAGCAUUGAGUUUGUGGUCAGGGUAUUGCUGGACAUCUUCACUGGGGUGCGGCUUUACUUGCCACCCUCCACACCAGACUUCAGCCGUCUCAGACGCUACUUUGUGGCAUUCGACGGGGACC